Immersiella caudata is the source of this 82-nucleotide non-coding RNA. The record is from the annotation of a GenBank genome assembly. NCBI's taxonomy places the organism in Eukaryota, Fungi, Ascomycota, Sordariomycetes, Sordariales, Lasiosphaeriaceae.
GGUUGUGUAGUGUAGCGGUUAUCACUCCGGAUUCUGAUGUUUCAAAAUUCCGGCAACCCCGGUUCGAUUCCGGGCACGACCU